Molecule: ribosomal RNA, 534 nt
Filed under: uncultured bacterium
Lineage: Bacteria
Description: bacterial SSU rRNA
Rfam family: Bacterial small subunit ribosomal RNA
Source: RNAcentral
AAUAGAUACCCUGGUAGUCCACGCCCUAAACGAUGUCUACUAGUUGUCGGGGGGUAACUCCUUCGGUAACGCAGCUAACGCGUGAAGUAGACCGCCUGGGGAGUACGGUCGCAAGAUUAAAACUCAAAGGAAUUGACGGGGACCCGCACAAGCGGUGGAUGAUGUGGAUUAAUUCGAUGCAACGCGAAAAACCUUACCUACCCUUGACAUGCCACUAACGAAGCAGAGAUGCAUUAGGUGCCCGAAAGGGAAAGUGGACACAGGUGCUGCAUGGCUGUCGUCAGCUCGUGUCGUGAGAUGUUGGGUUAAGUCCCGCAACGAGCGCAACCCUUGCCAAUAGUUGCUACGAAAGGGCACUCUAUUGGGACUGCCGGUGACAAACCGGAGGAAGGUGGGGAUGACGUCAAGUCCUCAUGGCCCUUAUGGGUAGGGCUUCACACGUCAUACAAUGGCUGGUACAGAGGGUUGCCAACCCGCGAGGGGGAGCCAAUCCCACAAAACCAGUCGUAGUCCGGAUUGCAGUCUGCAACUCGA